This 432-nucleotide ribosomal RNA is filed under the name uncultured bacterium. RNAcentral's name for it is "partial 16S ribosomal RNA". It matches the Rfam family "Bacterial small subunit ribosomal RNA", at positions 29 to 507 of the family's 1533-position model. The record is from RNAcentral.
AACGAACGCUGGCGGCAUGCCUAACACAUGCAAGUCGAACGAGACCUUCGGGUCUAGUGGCGCACGGGUGCGUAACGCGUGGGAACCUGCCCUUAGGUUCGGAAUAACUCCCCGAAAGGGGUGCUAAUACCGGAUAAUGUCUUCGGACCAAAGAUUUAUCGCCUUUGGAUGGGCCCGCGUUGGAUUAGCUAGUUGGUAGGGUAAAAGCCUACCAAGGCGACGAUCCAUAGCUGGUCUGAGAGGAUGAUCAGCCACACUGGGACUGAGACACGGCCCAGACUCCCGCGGGGGGCAGCAGGGGGGAAAAUGGGAAAAGGGGCAAAAGCCUGACCCACAAUGGCCGGGGGGGUGAUGAAGGCCUUGGGUUUUUAAAGCGCUUUUCCCCGGGAUGACAUGACCGUAACGGGUAAAAAAAGCCCCGCUAACCCCCGG